GCGAGCGUGGCGGAAUUGGUAGACGCACUGGAUUUAGGUUCCAGCGCUGUAAGGCGUGGGAGUUCGAUUCUCCCCGCUCGCACCA
RNAcentral lists this transfer RNA (85 nucleotides) under Silvimonas terrae. RNAcentral describes it as "tRNA-Leu". It matches the Rfam family "tRNA". Rfam says of the family: Transfer RNA (tRNA) molecules are approximately 80 nucleotides in length. Their secondary structure includes four short double-helical elements and three loops (D, anti-codon, and T loops). RNAcentral also lists the same sequence under 1 other name. The record is from RNAcentral. Lineage: Bacteria; Pseudomonadati; Pseudomonadota; Betaproteobacteria; Neisseriales; Chitinibacteraceae.